UUCUAAUACUGUAUGCAAUAGGUUAACUAUAUUUGGUGUAUGGAAAUAUUUUACAAUGGACAUGUCAGUCUGGCAGGUUUUAUUUGACCUUGACCUCAUUUUCACUGUUCAUUGCUCAAUGUUAAGUUUUUGUUUUUUGGUCUGUUUUUCUAAUACUGUAUGCAGUAAGUCAACUAUAUUUGGUGUAUGGAAAUAUUUUACGAUGAACAUGUCAGUCUGGCAGGUUUUACUUGACCUUGACCUCAUUUUCAGGGUUCAUUGAUCAAUGUUAAGUUUUUGUGUUUUGGUCUGUUUUCCUAAUACUGUAUGCAAAAGGUCAACUAUAUUUGGUGUAUGGAAUGAUUGUAAGGUGUAUAUGUCUGUCUGGCAGGUAUCAUCUCAUCUUCACCUCAUUUUCAUGGUUCAUUGGUCAAUGUUCAGUUUUCCUGGUUAACUUUGUUUCUUGGAUACUUUAAGUAAUAGGUCAACUAUAUUUGAUGCAUGGAAUGAUUUUAAGGUGUACAUGUCUGUCUGGCAGGGUUUAUCUGACCUUGACUUCAUUUUCAUGGUUCAUUGGUCAAUAUAGAAUUUCCAUGGUUUGGUAUGAUUCUUUUAUACUAUAAACAAUAGGUCAUCUAUAUUCUGUGUUUGGUUGGUUUAUCUGACCUUGACCUCAUUUUUUUGGAUAAUAAAUGUUAAUGUGAUACUUGCAGUAAAACUUUAUAUGUAGGACUAUCAACAUAAAAAAUUCGUAAGGAUUCUGCGGAACCCAGUGUCUCGCCUACUUUUGCUGUUAGUCGCAGGCUCAACAGAAAAUGGGGAAAAAAUUAUUUAAAAUUUUCCUCUAGAUACUAUCUUUUGAUUGUAAGAAGCUUCUAUCCAAGUUUGGUAAAAAUCCAGGAUUGUUUAUGAAUCUAAUAAAUUAUUUAAAAACUUUAACUGCAGACUGUAUGUAAUGUCAACUGGAAGAAAAACUAAGUCCAUCUAUAAGUAAUAUACGGAAAAACAGGAAAUAAAUUUUUACAAUAUUUCCUUCUAGAUACUAGCUUUUGAUCAUAAACAAGCUUCUGUCCAAGUUUGGUAAAAAUCCAGGAUAGUUUAAGAAAGUUGUUAAAAUUUGAAAAACUUUUACCACAGAGUGAAUGUAAUGUUAACUGGCAGAAAAACUAAGUCCAUUUAUAAGUAAAAUACAGAUAAACAGGAUUUUUUUUUACAAAAUUUACUUCUGGAUACUAUCUUAUGAUCAUAAACAAGCUUCUGUCCAAGUUUGGUAGAAAUCCAGGAUAGUUUAAGAAGUUAUUAAAAUUCUAAAAAACUUUAACCACAGAGUGAAUGUAAUGUUAACUGGCAGAAAAACUAAGUCCAUUUAUAAGUAAAAUACGGAUAAACAGGAUUUUUUUUUUUACAAAAUUUACUUCUGGAUACUAUCUUAUGAUCAUAAACAAGCUUCUGUCCAAGUUUGGUAGAAAUCCAGGAUAGUUUAAGAAAGUUAUUAAAAUUUCAAAAACUUUAACCACAGAGUGAAUAUUUGUGGACGCCGCCGACGGAAUGUAGGAUCGCUAUGUCUCGCUUUUGCGACAAAAGUCACAGGCUCGACAAAAAUCAAUGGUCAGUAUAGUAGGCGAGACAUUUCAGCGUGUGCACUCUUGUUCAAAUACCAUAAGCAAAAGGUUUACUAUAUUUCGUGUAUGGAAUAAUUGUAAGGUGUACAUGUCUGUCUGACACGAUUUAUCUGACCAUGACCUCAUUGUCAUGGAUCUUUAAAAAUGUUAAGUUUAUGUGAUACUUGUAAUAAAACCUUUAUCUUUAAGACUUUCAAUAUAAAUCAAUGGUCAGUAAAGCAGGAGAGACAUUUCAGCGUGUCCACUCUUGUUAGCCAACAGUAAGUUUUUACCAUAUUUUUUAAUUUGUCAAUCACUUUGAAAUAACUUAAUACAUCUACAUAUCAGUUUUUGUGAAAAUCCUUAAUACAUCUAUAUAUCAGUUUUUGUGAAAAUCCUAAUAUUAGAAGACAUUUGUCAAAAUUUUUUAAAGUUGUUUGGCUAAAAAAUCGUCAGAUCUAGAAAUAAUAAUUGUGAAGAUGUUUAUCCAUUUAAAAAAAGGUACUAAACUUUUGGACAUUAAGUAUAUAGCUUUAACAAGCUCAUUUAAUUUUCCAGUAAUAAAAAGCAUAAAUAUAUAUAUAGAUAUCUACAUGUUUAUUCAUACUACACCAAAAUGUACUAUCAGUGACAGUUUAUUUAAAAAGUACAAAAUAUAAGUAAUGAAAUUUACCAGCUAAGAUAUUUA
Long non-coding RNA from Mytilus californianus (California mussel), 2268 nucleotides. RefSeq lists it as uncharacterized. The transcript is spliced from 2 exons. The record is from RefSeq and is a predicted model, not a curated record. NCBI's taxonomy places the organism in Eukaryota, Metazoa, Mollusca, Bivalvia, Mytilida, Mytilidae.